GACAAUCUCACAAUUAAAAAUAUUUUGACAAAUUUUAGUCUAUUAGCGGAUAUCCAUCUAUCAUUUUCAACACACACAACCGAGAUAGAUUAAUCAUCAAGAGAUCAAAUUUGAUUUCCAAAAUUUUGAUGAAUAUAUGCAUUAAAAAAUCAUAUAUUAAAUUAUCAUCAAAAUAUUAAAAAGUGGAGUAAAAACGAUAAUUAAUAUGAAUUUAACUUAAUAUGAUUGUGAAUUUAAAUACCGUUUAAGCGACUUUUGAAAAAAAAAAUUUCUCUCCUCAAAAAAAUAAUGAUUCUCAAUCAUCUCCUUUCUCAAAAAUAAUUUUUAAACAAACAAAAUUCAAAACACCAAAAAUCAUUUAAAUAUGUAAUGCAAUGAAUAAAAUUAU
RNAcentral lists this long non-coding RNA (388 nucleotides) under Ananas comosus (pineapple). Its description in RNAcentral is "long non-coding RNA (ACOM_LNC036425)". The record is from RNAcentral. Lineage: Eukaryota; Viridiplantae; Streptophyta; Magnoliopsida; Poales; Bromeliaceae.